RNAcentral lists this unclassified non-coding RNA (332 nucleotides) under fungal sp. Its description in RNAcentral is "partial internal transcribed spacer region". The stretch from base 1 to 46 matches the Rfam family "Eukaryotic small subunit ribosomal RNA", at positions 1786 to 1831 of the family's 1831-position model. The record is from RNAcentral. Lineage: Eukaryota; Fungi.
AAGUCGUAACAAGGUUUCCGUAGGCGAACCUGCGGAAGAAUCAUUAACACGUAUCCAAACGUAAAAAAAUUGAUUCAGAGAUCUCUGGCUACGUGAGAACAUUGGAACAGUUACAAUCGAGCGGUAGUUUCAUAGGCAUUGUUUCCCCAAGCAGUUAGUGUCUGAAAGAGUCACUGAUUGUGCAAGGAUAGCGCUUCAACGAUUCCUGUAGACCGUACACUCGGGCAGGAGCUAUGCCAAAGGGUCCCCAUGCCCCCUUAUAACCCCACAGUUUAAUGUGAAGCUCAAUGGGUAAAAAAACCGAACAACUGUUAAACGAUGAAGAACGCAGC